UACGAAGGGUGCAAGCGUUGUUCGGAAUUAUUGGGCGUAAAGGGCGCGUAGGCGGCCACCGCAAGUCGACUGUGAAAUCUCCGGGCUUAACCCGGAACGGUCAGCCGAUACUGCGGGGCUAGAGUGCAGAAGGGGCAACUGGAAUUCUCGGUGUAGCGGUGAAAUGCGUAGAUAUCGAGAGGAACACCUGCGGCGAAGGCGGGUUGCUGGGCUGACACUGACGCUGAGGCGCGAAAGCUAGGGGAGCGAACGGG
This 254-nucleotide ribosomal RNA is filed under the name uncultured bacterium. Its description in RNAcentral is "partial 16S ribosomal RNA". It matches the Rfam family "Bacterial small subunit ribosomal RNA", at positions 524 to 776 of the family's 1533-position model. The record is from RNAcentral.